RNAcentral lists this ribosomal RNA (253 nucleotides) under uncultured bacterium. RNAcentral describes it as "partial 16S ribosomal RNA". It matches the Rfam family "Bacterial small subunit ribosomal RNA", at positions 524 to 776 of the family's 1533-position model. The record is from RNAcentral.
UACGUAGGGGGCAAGCGUUGUCCGGAUUCAUUGGGCGUAAAGAGCGUGUAGGCGGCCAGGUAGGUCGGUUGUGAAAACUGGAGGCUCAACCUUCAGAGGUCGACCGAAACCAUCUGGCUAGAGUCCGGGAGAGGAGAGUGGAAUUCCUGGUGUAGCGGUGAAAUGCGCAGAUAUCAGGAGGAACACCGAUGGCGAAGGCAGGUCUCUGGGCCAUAACUGACGCUGAGAAGCGAAAGCAUGGGGAGCGAACAGG